AUUAGACAAGGAGAGCACUAGCGUGCGACAAGGACAGACAUAUAGGCGCGAUAGACAAGGAGAGCGAUAUCGUGGGACAAGGACAGACACAUCUGUGCGUUAGACAAGGAGAGCCGCAGCAUGCGAUAAGGACAGACAUAUUCGCGCGAUAGACAAAGAGGGCAAGCAGCGUAUGAUAAAGACAACAAUAUAAAUUAGUUUCGGCACCUAUCCUAAGGGUGAUCCACACGAUGAGAUUUUGUUAUAGAAGAGGAAUAUUUAAACAACCUUUGCGAGCAAAGGACCAGUUAAUUUAUCUGGAACUACGAUGUUAUCCUCUAUUUUUUCUUCAUCUGUGAUAUUUGUAUUUGAAAAUGUCGCGCCUCGGGUCAGAACUUUGAUACUAUCACGCGAAAGAACUGGAGCAAUUAGUGCAGCAAGUGGAUUCACGCGUUCAAGAACUUCAAAUACAGUUUGCACUAAUGCUUGGAGCUGAUAAUUCACAAGAAUCGGUACAAUUUGAUAUUCUUUGUUUCUAAGCUCAAUAUAUUUAAUUGGUGCGUUUAAAUAAAUACGUUUUCUACAUUUUGUCAUCAUCUCUGGAUACAAUGUGGCUGAAAGCUGAGAAUUAAUGGAUUGUCGACUGUCAAACAUGCUAUAGAAAGGAGACUUGAUGCUGGAAGUUUUCGAAGAGAAUUGUACCUUUCUCCAAUAAGGACGAAAUCGGUUUGAUACUGGAGCCGUCAUUGUCUUUCCAUUUCGUACUGUGAGCAGUCAGCAGGUGGAGACAAAGAACUUUAUCAGGAUCUACUUCGCCCUUAGUGAAUACUAUUGAGCGCACAAACUCGUAGGAAUCUUUCGGCGCCUGUUCCUGCUCGAUUGUCUGACCACUUUUUUUUAUGGCGCCCGUGCAAUGGUAGCAAAAGCCAGGAUUGUGAGUUUCGUACAUGCGCACAUUAAUAGCCUACGCGUCAAUUACUGUGCCCGCAAUUAGAUUGAAACGAUGAAUCGCGUUUCUGCUAAUUGUGCGUGCAGAAAUACACGGUGUUAAUCUUUAGUCUAGAGUAAUCUAAUCUAUAGUCAAAUCGUGAAACGUUACGAUCGGAACUCUGCGAACUAAUACUCUUUCAAUGUUAUAUAGACUCUAUAUAACCAUAUGUAACUCUUCGAAUAUUCUUGUGGAAACUUAUUUUGAAUAUACAAUAUUAUAUGUGCUAUACAAAA
Frieseomelitta varia is the source of this 1203-nucleotide RNA transcript. RefSeq lists it as uncharacterized. The record is from RefSeq and is a predicted model, not a curated record. Lineage: Eukaryota; Metazoa; Arthropoda; Insecta; Hymenoptera; Apidae. The transcript is spliced from 4 exons.